AAAUUUGAGAGUUUGAUCCUGGCUCAGAAUGAACGCUGGCGGCAGGCUUAACACAUGCAAGUCGAACGGGGUUAUAUUGUAGCUUGCUAUGGUAUAACUUAGUGGCAGACGGGUGAGUAAUGUAUAGGAAUCUACCUAGUAGUACGGAAUAAUUGUUGGAAACGGCAACUAAUACCGUAUACGCCCUACGGGGGAAAGAUUUAUUGCUAUUAGAUGAGCCUAUAUUAGAUUAGCUAGUUGGUAAGGUAAUGGCUUACCAAGGCAAUGAUCUAUAGCUGAUCUGAGAGGAUGAUCAGCCACACUGGAACUGAGAUACGGUCCAGACUCCUACGGGAGGCAGCAGUG
RNAcentral lists this ribosomal RNA (345 nucleotides) under Wolbachia endosymbiont of Menacanthus eurysternus. RNAcentral describes it as "bacterial SSU rRNA". It matches the Rfam family "Bacterial small subunit ribosomal RNA", at positions 1 to 356 of the family's 1533-position model. Lineage: Bacteria; Pseudomonadati; Pseudomonadota; Alphaproteobacteria; Rickettsiales; Anaplasmataceae. The record is from RNAcentral.